This 468-nucleotide ribosomal RNA is filed under the name uncultured bacterium. Its description in RNAcentral is "partial 16S ribosomal RNA". It matches the Rfam family "Bacterial small subunit ribosomal RNA", at positions 28 to 507 of the family's 1533-position model. The record is from RNAcentral.
GACGAAUGCUGGCGGCGUGCUUAACACAUGCAAGUCGAACGGAAAGGCCCUGCUUUUGUGGGGUGCUCGAGUGGCGAACGGGUGAGUAACACGUGAGUAACCUGCCCUUGACUUUGGGAUAACUUCAGGAAACUGGGGCUAAUACCGGAUAGGAGCUCCUGCUGCAUGGUGGGGGUUGGAAAGUUUCGGCGGUUGGGGAUGGACUCGCGGCUUAUCAGCUUGUUGGUGGGGUAGUGGCUUACCAAGGCUUUGACGGGUAGCCGGCCUGAGAGGGUGACCGGCCACAUUGGGACUGAGAUACGGCUCAGACUCCUACGGGAGGCAGCAGUGGGGAAUAUUGCACAAUGGGCGGAAGCCUGAUGCAGCAACGCCGCGUGCGGGAUGACGGCCUUCGGGUUGUAAACCGCUUUCGCCUGUGACGAAGCGUGAGUGACGGUAAUGGGUAAAGAAGCACCGGCUAACUACGUG